UGAACCGGCAUCCAACCGACGAAUGGAUGGGCGCUCUAUUGCUGCAGAUAAAGUUGAUCUGAUAAAGCUAAUCUGCAUUGACAGCCUGGGUCUUUGCACUAAGGCUUGAUGUCUGUUUGUGCCAAGAGCAAUGUUGCCAGUGAUCAGCCCAAAAGUGAACGUGUUAAAAAAAUAAACAAGCAAUAUAUGGAGUAGCGGCUUGAAGACUGAUGAGACUAGCAAAAUUCAUCCCUGCAGCGGUGGACUGAGAGGUGGGGGGAGUAUACCCGGGGAUAUCUCUAGCUCUCGUCUCAAUGGCACAAGACAAGGCAAGGUCAAUGUUAAGGUCAUAAGAAGCGCUUGGCAAGUGAGAGAAUGCAUUGUGGCAGCCAGUUAGGGAAAAAUGGAGUAAGGAAAGAGGAGACGAUUGAAAAAAAAAAGAAAAAAGAAAAACAAAGAAUGUGCCGGAAGACUAGACGCACCACUUAGCUGGCGUGUCCGGAGAGGCCUGCUUACCAUUCGUAGCCUCUGGAAGAUGCAAUCAAAACAACAACAUUGUGGGAUCUGAGCUAGCCUGUGUUACCCUGUUUAUGUUUUUCACAACGGUGUAUUUUGUAAUCAUUUUUUGCAUAUAAUUGUACUGUGCUUGUGUUUUUUUCCCUUUCACUUUGUGUUUAAGUGCAGCCUGUAUAUCUUUCACUGUGAAGUCAUGGUUCUUUGUGAAUGAAAGUGAGUAGUUGCCUCUUCCAGAGUGUGUUACUAGUGUCAGCCUUUUGUCUAACUGGCAAGUGUAAAGUGUAAUCCCAGCCAAUACCCCAUAGAAAGUGAUGUGUAGACCUCAGCUACUCACAGUAAAUUAUCAGCUAUGACUUUGCAUUAUGUAGGUUUUGGCAGUUAUAUUAUAUUUAAUAUGGAUAUAAUAUCAUACAUGCCCAUUUACACCAUUAUUAGUAUUUAUAAAUUAUGUAAUAAUAUUGUUUCAAUGGUCAUAUACUUCUUACUGUAAGAGUUAUUAGAUGCUUUUGUACUUUCACUAUAACCACUAGAUAAGCACAAUAUGUGACCCCUAAACUAAAGUGUUACCAAAGUGUAUAUUCACAUGUAUUGUUGAGCUAAGUGAAAGCACACAUAUGAAAAACUAAAACAAUAAUAGAAUGUGGCUAUCAAAGUAAAAAAAGCCUUGGACUCCUCUGACCUACAAUGUACAAUUCAAUGAGCUUUAACAAUCAUUACCACACAGCUGAAUGUUGAAAAGAGAGAGAGAGAAGUAAGCCUUCAUUCGUGUGCAUUCUGCUCUUGUAAUCUUGUGUCUGGUUAUCAGGUUGACACCAGCUCUAUGGGCCUGUCUGUCCCGAGUGCGACAGUAACAUCAGCAGAACAUUCCAGGGAGCAGCAGGGGCACAGGCCCAUCUCCCAGCCCACUGGAGCAGUUGUUUCAAGAAUACCUUGAAAAACACGCAUUCUGCUCUCCAGAGAUCUGACCAGUAACUUGGCUUGGUGAUGUGCUUGUCCCCAUGGAGAUGUUAAAGAACAAUGCCAUACUGUGAAACAUUCCAGGCAAAGCAGUACCCUCUCCACUGAGACAAGCAGGUGGCAGACCCUCCCCCCGGUAAGGUUACAUAGUGCACCUUUAAUAGUAACUUUCCACCUCUGGCAUUUCAAGAGUUAAAGUCCUGAACGACAGCCCAUACCUACAGACUAUUGUGGCUCUUGCGGAGAUAAUAUGAAGGAAAUUGUGUGUUGAGAAAAAGGGGUUACGUCUGAUCCAAGAACAAUUUCUCCAAGGUCAAGUGAAGAUUGGGAGGCUGUAAAAUGAUUACUGCAACAGGAAACAGGAUGCUUCUUUUGCUUCUCAAAACACCAGCAUCUCAUAACACACUUCUCUCACUUUCUCUUCCCCCCUUCAGCUCUUUCACACGCUAUCAAUUUUAUUUCUCUUGCUGCUCAAUCCCUCCACAAAUCCUCCAGUUUUUCCACGCAAAGGCCUCGGUUAGUUACAAGCUCCUUUCUGCAUGCAUGCGUUUACUUUCUAUUGACGGGCUGUUCAUCUUUUUGAUUCUGACAGUGAAUACGUUGCAAAGUUCCAUUGAUACUGCUUAAAUGGUCUUUUGGAAAUCUCUCAGCUUCUUUUCAUUGUCGUUGUAAGUUUGCACAUGCACGCAUACAGUAUUUGGUAAUGUUAUUCCUCUUCUUUCUGCAAAGGAAACCACAUCUGUCAGUGAACCUUAAGUUACCUAAAGGGAUAAAGCUUUUUCGACACUUUUAUCUAGAAGUGGUGGCUGCACAGAUUAGCCAAGAACAGCACUCAAUUUAAAAAUCUAUAUGCGGUGCUGUCUCCGUUUGUCUAAAGAUAGAAAAACACAGCAUAUAAGGUCUGUUUUGGGUGCUAUUCUGGUUUGCAACCCUUGAUCGCAUAUUGUAAAAUGUCACACUUGACUUUGCUCUCUCCGUGAUAUAACACAACAGAAUGGAGAGGUUUGUGAUAACAAUGUUCAAAAGAGAAAAAAAACUGAAUAAUUUGAAUUUACGGCAUGGAACGCGAGGUGUUUUUAUUUGUGCGUAAACUCGGCUCACUCGUCAUGUGUUAAAUCCACUGUGAUUUCUCCUAGCACACCUUGUGAUUGCCUUUAAAGUGUGCCGUUCCUUUGGGCUUCUUCAUCAGUUUAUAAGCCCUCUGAUCUCUAUCUCUUUCUUACUUUGGGCAACACGUGAGAUGGAUGCGUUUUUCACACUGUAAUUUCAUACACACAUGCAUGACCAGUGUUCGCUCAGAAGGGGGAUUUCUCUAUUCAAAUGUGUGCCUUCCUUAACCAGAAUAUCUACUACAGCCUCUGCAAUGUGGAGUGUCCCCUAACUAAUGACAUUGUCUCCAUCGUUACUGUUGGAGCUGUCAAAAGUGUUGUUUUUCAGGCUUUAUCUAAGGCAUUGUUUCAGAAACAUGCUGCCAAAGUAGAUAAGAAAUUCCCUGUAGUAGUGCCCAGAACACUCACAACUGAAUCUCACUUCUAGUUGCAAGAAAAUCAUACAAAUAUUUCUGUGUUAGACAAGAUCGAAAACUCCAUUUCUGUUCAAAGUAGCACACUAUUUCAGGUGCAUUAUGACAUAUCAUGAGAGAUUUAUUCAUGCGUGACGUUGACAGUAUAAUCUGCUCUUACUGUAAUGUUGAUCUUUUUCUCAAAACAUAUUCAUGGUCCUCUGUGGGGUCACCAGAGGGCACAGGCAGCUUAUCUCAUAGUAUUGUGCACAAGGCAGGGCCAGCAGCUCAUUACAGGUCAGCUACACAGAGAAAGCUAUAAUUACUGCUGUACGUAUGAGGUCUUAUACUGUAUCGAUUCUCAAAGGAAAAUUCAUCUCAUAAACCUUUGAAAUGAAUAUUAUGUUUUCAGGUCAGAGAUAAACCAAGCCUGUUUUAUGCACUGGGAGACAGGCCGUGUAAUAUUCUUUGUUAUAUUGUAUUUUUUCUGACUGUAUUGAUUUUUAAUAAAACAUAAUUUUAUUGGUUA
Long non-coding RNA from Boleophthalmus pectinirostris (great blue-spotted mudskipper), 3482 nucleotides. RefSeq lists it as uncharacterized. The record is from RefSeq and is a predicted model, not a curated record. The transcript is spliced from 2 exons. NCBI's taxonomy places the organism in Eukaryota, Metazoa, Chordata, Actinopteri, Gobiiformes, Gobiidae.